This 345-nucleotide ribosomal RNA is filed under the name uncultured bacterium. Its description in RNAcentral is "bacterial SSU rRNA". It matches the Rfam family "Bacterial small subunit ribosomal RNA", at positions 8 to 334 of the family's 1533-position model. The record is from RNAcentral.
AGGGUUCGAUUCUGGCUCAGGAUGAACGCUGGCGGCGUGCUUAACACAUGCAAGUCGAACGGAGUGCCCAUGACGGAGUUUUCGGACAACUGAUUGGGUUACUUAGUGGCGGACGGGUGAGUAACGCGUGAGUAACCUGCCUUGGAGUGGGGAAUAACAGUCGGAAACGACUGCUAAUACCGCAUGAUGCAUUUGGGCUGCAUGGCUCUGAAUGCCAAAGAUUUAUCGCUCUGAGAUGGACUCGCGUCUGAUUAGCUAGUUGGUGAGGUAACGGCUCACCAAGGCGACGAUCAGUAGCCGGACUGAGAGGUUGGCCGGCCACAUUGGGACUGAGACACGGCCCAG